Molecule: long non-coding RNA, 3347 nt
Filed under: Homo sapiens (human)
Lineage: Eukaryota; Metazoa; Chordata; Mammalia; Primates; Hominidae
Description: non-protein coding lnc-SLC44A5-4:3
Source: RNAcentral
GUGGAAUGCUGAGAAAGGUGAAAUAAUUCGAACGUCUCCCUGGUGUUCCUUCUCCCUAACCCAUCUAUUUCAAGGUUAAAGAGUCAUGGACUGGAACCAGGAAAGUUUCAACCAGGAGAAUCAAGUUACAACUCUGAGAUUAAGAUCAUAAGUGGUUGAGUUAUUGGGAGGUCAAAAUCAUAGCACAGCAACAACUCAUCAGUAUCCGGGAUUAACAAAGACAUAGACACAAAUCUUGACGAACACUUCAGCCCUGCCUCCAGAAUGAAAGGGGGAAACCUAGACCUGAAUGGGCUUGACCAUCUCACAGCUGCUCACGUGAUGACCAUAUUCGUGGCAGGUAAAAAGAUUGCUGUAUCAACUCAAGAAAGCAGUAGCCUCACUGUCUUUGUAUUUUGAAUUGCAACAACAACUUUGAUAUCAACAAUGAAGCAAUGGUAUCUAAGAACAAAAGAGCAUUUGCCAAAAGUCAUCAUAAUAUCAAGUGAUUGUAUAAGCAGAAACAAGCUGUCACAGACCUGUGUGUCAGCUAACAUAAGGAGAAUGCUUUCUUCUGAUGCUAUUUAUUUACAGGCAGUUUUAAUAUAUAUCACUUCAAUUAUAUCUACAUCAAAUAAAAUAAAAAAUUAGUGAAGCCCCCAGAUUCUUCAUUGGACCAGAAGACACAGAAAUAAAUCCUGGAAAUUAUCAACAUUUCUUCCACCAUGCAGAUGAAGAUGAUGAGGAGGAAGAUGAUUCUCCACCAGAAAGGCAGAUUGUGGUUGGAAUAUGUUCCAUGGCAAAGAAAUCCAAAUCCAAACCAAUGAAGGAAAUUCUUGAAUGGGUCUCCUUAUUUAAAUAUAUCACAGUAGUGGUAUUUGAAGAGGAGGUUAUUUUGAGGGAACCAGUGGAAAACUGGCCUUUAUGUGAUUGUCUUUUUUCUUUGCACUCUAAAGGAUUUCCACUGGACAAAGUGGUUGCCUAUGCAAAACUCAGGAAUCCAUUUGUAAUCAAUGACUUGAAUAUGCAGUAUCUCAUACAAGAUUGGAGAGAGGUAUAUAGUAUUCUUCAAGCUGAAGUUAUUUUACUUCCUUGUUAUGCAAUUUUGAACCGUGACCCAAAUAAUCCCAAAGAAUGUAAUCUGAUUGAAGGGGAAGAUCAUGUAGAAGUAAAUGAGGAAGUUUUUCAAAAGCCAUUUGUAGAAAAGCCAGUCAGUGCAGAAGAUCACAAUGUUUACAUUUAUUACCCAACUUCUGCUGGCAGUGGAAGUCAAAGACUCUUUAGAAAGAUUGGCAGUAGAAGUAGUGCUUAUUCUCCACAAAGCAAUGUACAAAAAUCAAGCUCAUAUACACAUGAAGAGUUUAUGCCCGGAGACGAUACUAAUGUUAAGAGAUUCCUCAUGUUUUGCACCACCAACAUCUUUGGCAGUCUGAAGCCUAUGGACUCUUUCUUAACAAAAGUGUUCUUAAAUGCUUUAAACAUGUAAGAUUAUGAUGGAGACAAAUUUUAUUCAAAUAUAAUAAAAUAUUUAAAAAUAAAAAAGUAAUAGACACAAAUAUGCCAUUUGUUUAGAAAAUGUUUCAUACUCAGCAGAAGUAUCUUGUCAUAUCUCUGGGCAAGGAAAGAACUCUGGGAGAGUCUAAAGUUGCCUUUCUUUGUAUUUUAUUAUGUCCUUUUUGGGGAAGACUUGUUCAGACAUGAUCAACUUAUGGGUUCUACUGUAAGAUUUUAUAAUAUUUUGUCAUAGUUCACAUGAAGUUCUUCCUCACAUCUUCACUUGGCUCAUUUGUGACUAUUUCCGUGGGACUUUUUUAUUUAUUAAUAUUUUCCAAGAGGAAAGAAUAAAAAAUUCAUGUACUCUGAAUCCUUUAGUUUCCUCAGAAGGCCAUGAAGCCCCAGACAAGCCAGAAGCAAUUAUUCCCAUUUUAAGGACAUUCGAGCCUGCAUACAAUUGUAAUACAAACCAAGCAAAGCUCUUUCAGAAGGCACAACUCUACUUCAUGAUCCAUGAAAAACUGGUUUUAAUAUUUGCAUGCAUCUUCUUCCUAUGAAGGUCUGUUUGAACUGGAUAUUUCUAUAGCAUGCACAAAUGAUAGAUUGUUAUGAUCAAUUAAUAUUCAAAAUUUCCCCCAGAGAGAGAGAGAGAAUGAGAGGUAGAAUCACUCACAGGUACAGAAAGAACUACCAUUAUAAACAGACUAUUAUAAAGACAAGCUUCCUUCUGUGAUGGUUUCCCAAUGAAUCACACUUCUCUGUCUCCAUAUGCUUGUGUAGUCCCUGUCACAUUUACUCUGGGCUUGACCAUUGACUUGCUCCAGCCAACAAGAUAUCAGCAGAUAUACAGCAAGCAAAGGCUUGAUAAGCAUGUGUGCACUGGGGCUUGCUCUCUUGGAGCACUUCUGCCACCAUGUGAAGAAGCCAGGAUGAAAGACCUCAUAGAGAGAGACCCAGCUGGCUUAGCUGGUCCAACCAUCCAAGCUGAGACUGUAGACAUCCCGUGGAAAUCACUCAUCUACUCUCCAGUUACAUGAAUCAACUUGUUUAGAUUCCACAUACGUGUGAGAUUAUGUGAUAAUUGUGCUCCUGUGCCUGGCUUAUUUCACUUAACACAGUGUCCUCCAGGUUCAUUCAUAUUGUUGCAAUUGGCAGAAGAUAUCUACAUUCUGAUGUUUAUUGCAGCACUAUUCACAACAGCCAAGAUAUUGGAAUGAAUCUAAGUGUCGAAAAUGAAGGAAUGGAUAAAGAAAAUGUGGUAAAUAUACAUAGUGGAAAGCUAUGUAUAGUCAUAAAAAUAAUGAAUUUUGUUUUUUGUCCAUGGGCAAGUUGAUUGGCUGAAAACUACAAAGAAAGAAGGACCGUUUUCCUUGGAGCAGGCUGACAAGAUUUAUCAGAGAAAGCAAAUUUAAUUAUUAAUGGGUUGCUUGAGAAACUUUAUGAUUUCAGCUGUGGAGUAUAUUCAAUUGCUGUCUCUGUGUAACACAGCCUGGGCUCUUUCGUUGGCUUUCCUACCUUAGUUAAACCUAGACUGCACCACUUUCCUCACUAUAAAUCCUCAUGGGACAGUGUUGAACUUUUCCUGAUUCCUUGCAGGUUUUAUUUCAUUUUGUUUUGAUAUUAAGAUCCUACAACUUUAAUACAUAUUAACACUGUGUUUGUUAUUAUAAGAAUAAAUACAUUUCAGGUUAUAAAAUAGCUAUUAAAACUAGAUUCUACUUACUAUGUUAAAUCAUACAAAUGCUUCUAUGUUUCACUUGUGUGAUUUUGGAGCAGUGAUGGCCAUCAGAGUCACUAUACUUGAAACAUGAAACUUGCUUUAAUCGUACUAUUAGCUUCUAAUAUUAUAAUAAGACAAUAAAUGAUGUCAUAUU